GGNUNNUUUUGUCCCNCCAGCCNNGGUANAAAANGGUUUUCANGNNUUUUUGGAUUCAUUGGGCGUAAAGGGUGCGUAGGUGGCGCCGUAAGUCAGGUGUGAAAUCUCGGGGCUCAACCCCGAAACUGCACUUGAUACUGCGGUGCUCGAGUACUGGAGAGGAGAUUGGAAUUUACGGUGUAGCAGUGAAAUGCGUAGAUAUCGUAAGGAAGACCAGUGGCGAAGGCGAAUCUCUGGACAGUUACUGACACUGAGGCACGAAGGCCAGGGGAGCAAACGGGAUUAGAUACCCCGGUAGUCCUGGCAGUAAACGGUGCGCGUUUGGUGUGGGAGGAUUCGACCCCUUUCUGUGCCGGAGCUAACGCGUUAAACGCGCCGCCUGGGGAGUACGGUCGCAAGAUUAAAACUCAAAGAAAUUGACGGGGGCCCGCACAAGCGGUGGAGUAUGUGGCUUAAUUCGAUGCAACGCGAAGAACCUUACCUGGCCUUGACAUGCAUCUCUAAGUCGGUGAAAGCCGGCGAGUGUAGCAAUACACAAUUUGCACAGGUGCUGCA
Molecule: ribosomal RNA, 555 nt
Filed under: uncultured Verrucomicrobiota bacterium
Lineage: Bacteria; Pseudomonadati; Verrucomicrobiota
Description: bacterial SSU rRNA
Rfam family: Bacterial small subunit ribosomal RNA
Source: RNAcentral